GAGUUUGAUCGUGGCUCAGAGCGAACGCUGGCGGCAGGCCUAACACAUGCAAGUCGAGCGCCCAGCAAUGGGAGCGGCAGACGGGAGAGUAACACGUGGGAACGUACCUUUCAGUUCGGAACAACCAAGGGAAACUUUGGCUAAUACCGAAUACGCCCGUAAGGGGAAAGAUUUAUCGCUGAAAGAUCGGCCCGCGUCUGAUUAGCUAGUUGGUGAGGUAAUGGCUCACCAAGGCGACGAUCAGUAGCUGGUCUGAGAGGAUGAUCAGCCUCACUGGGACUGAGACACGGCCCAGACUCCUACGGGAGGCAGCAGUGGGGAAUAUUGGACAAUGGGCGCAAGCCUGAUCCAGCCAUGCCGCGUGGAUGAUGAAGGCCCUAGGGUUGUAAAGUCCUUUCGACGGGGAAGAUAAUGACGGUACCCGUAGAAGAAGCCCCGGCUAACUUCGUGCCAGCCGCCGCCGUAAU
This 467-nucleotide ribosomal RNA is filed under the name uncultured Alphaproteobacteria bacterium. RNAcentral's name for it is "bacterial SSU rRNA". It matches the Rfam family "Bacterial small subunit ribosomal RNA", at positions 9 to 524 of the family's 1533-position model. The record is from RNAcentral. Lineage: Bacteria; Pseudomonadati; Pseudomonadota; Alphaproteobacteria.